GGGGUGUGCUCAGAGCAGGUGGCCUGAAGAAUGGCUCCUCUGUUUACAGCACAACCAACAGGAACCUGAGGUCAUUGUGAUGAGGGGCACGACACCAUGGCCUCUCUAUAAACAAAUGCCCUACACGU
Molecule: small nucleolar RNA, 128 nt
Organism: Carlito syrichta (Philippine tarsier)
Lineage: Eukaryota; Metazoa; Chordata; Mammalia; Primates; Tarsiidae
Source: Ensembl